RNAcentral lists this non-coding RNA (953 nucleotides) under Colossoma macropomum (tambaqui). RNAcentral describes it as "12S ribosomal RNA". It matches the Rfam family "Bacterial small subunit ribosomal RNA". Lineage: Eukaryota; Metazoa; Chordata; Actinopteri; Characiformes; Serrasalmidae. The record is from RNAcentral. RNAcentral also lists the same sequence under 1 other name.
CAAAGGCCUGGUCCUGACUUUACUAUCAGCUUUAGCCCAAUUUAUACAUGCAAGUAUCCGCACUCCUGUGAGAAUGCCCUCAAUCCCCCGUCCGGGGACGAGGAGCUGGCAUCAGGCACACUUAUUUUAGCCCAAGACGCCUUGCUACGCCACACCCCCAAGGGAACUCAGCAGUAAUAAACAUUAAGCCAUAAGUGAAAACUUGACUUAGUUAGGGCUAAGAGGGUCGGUAAAACUCGUGCCAGCCACCGCGGUUAUACGAGAGACCCUAGUUGAUGACUACGGCGUAAAGAGUGGUUUGGGACCCUACAAUAAAUAAAGCCAAAGACCUCCCAAGCUGUCAAACGCACCCCGGAGGCACGAAGCCCUAACACGAAAGUAGCUUUACCCUCUAUUCCCGACGCCACGAAAGCUAAGAGACAAACUGGGAUUAGAUACCCCACUAUGCUUAGCUAUAAACUCAGAUGCAAGACAUACAAAUAGCAUCCGCCAGGGUACUACAAGCGCUAGCUUAAAACCCAAAGGACUUGACGGUGUCUCAGACCCGCCUAGAGGAGCCUGUUCUAGAACCGAUAAUCCCCGUUAAACCUCACCAUCCCUUGUUUUUCCCGCCUAUAUACCGCCGUCGCAAGCUUACCCUGUGAAGGGUCUGUAGUAAGCAAAAUGGGCAAGCCCCAGAACGUCAGGUCGAGGUGUAGCUUACGAGAUGGAAAGAAAUGGGCUACAUUUUCUACAACAGAAUAUCACGAACGGUACCAUGAAACUGGUGCCCGAAGGUGGAUUUAGUAGUAAAAAACAAACAGAGCGUGUUUUUGAACCCGGCUCUGAGACGCGCACACACCGCCCGUCACUCUCCCCAUCACCUAACCACACAAGUAAAUAACCAAAAAUAUUUCACAGCGGGGAGGCAAGUCGUAACAUGGUAAGUGUACCGGAAGGUGCACUUGGAACAC